CCUGCCAUGGCCGAGUCGUUAAGGCGUCUGACUAAAAAUCAGAUGUGGUCUUCACGCGCAGGUUCGAAUCCUGCUGGUUGUGA
Symsagittifera roscoffensis is the source of this 83-nucleotide non-coding RNA. NCBI's taxonomy places the organism in Eukaryota, Metazoa, Xenacoelomorpha, Acoela, Convolutidae. The record is from the annotation of a RefSeq genome assembly.